Molecule: transfer RNA, 79 nt
Filed under: Candidatus Omnitrophota bacterium
Lineage: Bacteria; Pseudomonadati; Candidatus Omnitrophota
Description: Candidatus Omnitrophica bacterium tRNA-Arg
Rfam family: tRNA
About the family: Transfer RNA (tRNA) molecules are approximately 80 nucleotides in length.
Source: RNAcentral
GCGCCUGUAGCUCAUUAGGAUAGAGCGGGAGUUUCCUAAACUCCGUCAGCGGGGGGUUCGAAUCCCUCCAGGCGCACCA